This 88-nucleotide transfer RNA is filed under the name Cronobacter phage vB_CsaM_GAP32. It matches the Rfam family "tRNA". From Rfam's summary of the family: Transfer RNA (tRNA) molecules are approximately 80 nucleotides in length. Their secondary structure includes four short double-helical elements and three loops (D, anti-codon, and T loops). The record is from Rfam by way of RNAcentral. Lineage: Duplodnaviria; Heunggongvirae; Uroviricota; Caudoviricetes.
GGUGAGUUGGGGGAGUCGGUUUAACCCAGCACCCUGCUAAGGUGUCGGCCUCGCAAGAGGCCCGUGGGUUCAAAUCCCACACUCACCG